GCCUUCAUGGUGUAAAGGUUAGCACACUCGGCGCGUAUUCGAGAGGUCCAGGUUUGAGUCCCGGCGAAGGCA
Stegodyphus mimosarum is the source of this 72-nucleotide non-coding RNA. NCBI's taxonomy places the organism in Eukaryota, Metazoa, Arthropoda, Arachnida, Araneae, Eresidae. The record is from Rfam.